RNAcentral lists this ribosomal RNA (488 nucleotides) under uncultured bacterium. RNAcentral's name for it is "bacterial SSU rRNA". It matches the Rfam family "Bacterial small subunit ribosomal RNA", at positions 43 to 507 of the family's 1533-position model. The record is from RNAcentral.
CGUGCCUAACACAUGCAAGUCGUACGAGAAAGCCGGCUUCGGCUGGUGAGUAAAGUGGCGCACGGGUGAGUAACGCGUGGAUAAUCUGCCCUUAAGUGUGGAAUAACGUACCGAAAGGUGCGCUAAUACCGCAUAAUGCCUGGCAACACAAGUUGUCCGGCCAAAGAAGGCCUCUGUUUACAAGCUUUCGCUUCAGGAUGAGUCCGCGUACCAUUAGCUUGUUGGUGGGGUAAUGGCCUACCAAGGCUGCGAUGGUUAGCUGGUCUGAGAGGAUGAUCAGCCACACUGGAACUGAGACACGGUCCAGACUCCUACGGGAGGCAGCAGUGAGGAAUAUUGCGCAAUGGGGGCAACCCUGACGCAGCAACGCCGCGUGAGUGAGGAAGGUUUUCGGAUUGUAAAGCUCUGUCGAGCGGAAAGAAAUGCGCGAUGGCUAAUAUCCAUCAUGCUUGACGGUACCGCUAGAGGAAGCACCGGCUAACUACGUG